Molecule: ribosomal RNA, 470 nt
Filed under: uncultured bacterium
Lineage: Bacteria
Description: partial 16S ribosomal RNA
Rfam family: Bacterial small subunit ribosomal RNA
Source: RNAcentral
AUUGAACGCUGGCGGCAGGCCUAACACAUGCAAGUCGAACGGUAACAGGAAGAAGCUUGCUUCUUUGCUGACGAGUGGCGGACGGGUGAGUAAUGUCUGGGAAACUGCCUGAUGGAGGGGGAUAACUACUGGAAACGGUAGCUAAUACCGCAUAACGUCGCAAGACCAAAAAGGGGGACCUUCGGGCCUGUUGCCAUCGGAUGUGCCCAGGUGGGAUUAGCUAGUAGGUGGGGUAACGGCUCACCUAGGCGACGAUCGCUAGCCGGCCUGAGAGGGUGACCGGCCACACUGGGACUGAGACACGGCCCAGACGGGUACGGGACGCAGCAGUGGGGAAUAUUGCACAGUGGGGGCAAGUGUGAUGCAGCAACGUCGGGUGUGUGAAGUACGCCCUGGGGGGGUAAAGCUAGUUUAGCAGGGAAGAAGGGACAGUGACGGUACCUGCAGAAGAAGCACCGGCUAACUCCGUG